RNAcentral lists this ribosomal RNA (698 nucleotides) under uncultured bacterium. RNAcentral's name for it is "bacterial SSU rRNA". It matches the Rfam family "Bacterial small subunit ribosomal RNA", at positions 59 to 746 of the family's 1533-position model. The record is from RNAcentral.
CAGUCGAGGGGCAGCAUGGUCUUAGCUUGCUAAGGCCGAUGGCGACCGGCGCACGGGUGAGUAACACGUAUCCAACCUGCCGUCUACUCUUGGACAGCCUUCUGAAAGGAAGAUUAAUACAAGAUGGCAUCAUGAGUUCACAUGUUCACAUGAUUAAAGGUAUUCCGGUAGACGAUGGGGAUGCGUUCCAUUAGAUAGUAGGCGGGGUAACGGCCCACCUAGUCUUCGACGGAUAGGGGUUCUGAGAGGAAGGUCCCCCACAUUGGAACUGAGACACGGUCCAAACUCCUACGGGAGGCAGCAGUGAGGAAUAUUGGUCAAUGGGCGAGAGCCUGAACCAGCCAAGUAGCGUGAAGGAUGACUGCCCUAUGGGUUGUAAACUUCUUUUAUAAAGGAAUAAAGUCGGGUAUGGAUACCCGUUUGCAUGUACUUUAUGAAUAAGGAUCGGCUAACUCCGUGCCAGCAGCCGCGGUAAUACGGAGGAUCCGAGCGUUAUCCGGAUUUAUUGGGUUUAAAGGGAGCGUAGAUGGAUGUUUAAGUCAGUUGUGAAAGUUUGCGGCUCAACCGUAAAAUUGCAGUUGAUACUGGAUAUCUUGAGUGCAGUUGAGGCAGGCGGAAUUCGUGGUGUAGCGGUGAAAUGCUUAGAUAUCACGAAGAACUCCGAUUGCGAAGGCAGCCUGCUAAGCUGCAACUGACAU